AGCAGGGUCCUAGACUGUCCGCUUCCUCAUGGGAGGGGAUGUGCCGUUUAUGAUGGAGGAGCCUGCAUCUGGCUGAAUUAUGUUCUGCAAAUGAGCCCAUCUUAACAAGUGAUCCAGAUAAUUGCUAAUGAUAUUGAAUAGCAUCGGGCUUAGAACAGAUCCAUGGAGGUACCCCACAAGAUGAUGAUUCUUUGUUUAAAAUUAGUUUUUGAGAUUUAUCAGUUAAUCAGUUUUUAAUCCAUUUCAUAUGUGCUACAUUGAUUUUUG
Molecule: non-coding RNA, 267 nt
Organism: Chrysemys picta bellii (western painted turtle)
Lineage: Eukaryota; Metazoa; Chordata; Testudines; Emydidae
Source: RefSeq, a predicted model, not a curated record